UUAAUACUCCCUCCGUCCUAAAAUUCUUAUCUUAGAUUUGUUUAGAUAUGAAUGUAUCUAGUCAAGUUUUAGUAUUUAGAUACAUUCAUAUCUAGACAAAGCUAAGAAAAGAAUUAUGGGACGGAGGGAGUAGAAA
This 136-nucleotide microRNA precursor is filed under the name Hordeum vulgare. RNAcentral describes it as "microRNA MIR1122". It matches the Rfam family "MIR1120/MIR1122 microRNA precursor family". The record is from RNAcentral. Lineage: Eukaryota; Viridiplantae; Streptophyta; Magnoliopsida; Poales; Poaceae.